This is a long non-coding RNA of Daucus carota subsp. sativus, 6493 nucleotides long. RefSeq lists it as uncharacterized. The record is from RefSeq and is a predicted model, not a curated record. The transcript has 3 exons. NCBI's taxonomy places the organism in Eukaryota, Viridiplantae, Streptophyta, Magnoliopsida, Apiales, Apiaceae.
AGUUUUAUAAUAUUCCGGGAUUUAUAAAAAUAUUUUGGUGAUGUUUCCAAGAUAUUAUAAUAGCGAGAUAUUCCGAUAAUUUAGUUAAAAGCAGGUCCGAGUCUUCAGAUUAUUAUGGGCACGUGGAAGUAAAAGACUUAACCACGUACCCCUUUUUUUAGCACCGCCACCGUUUAUUCCACCACCGCCUUUGUAUAUACACAAUACUUCUUCCUUUUUAUCUCAAACAUCAGUCUCCUUCUAAUCUCUCCCCCUUUCGAAAUCUUUUCUCUGUCGACAGCCUCCCUUCUAUUCUGUUAAACUUCCCCGCUGACCGAUAUGCUCCAGACAAGUCGCCGCCGCUGGUUCCGAUUCCGGCCAAACCUGUUGUGGUCACCCGCGAAUUUCUUCUUGUCCAUGCCUCCUGCUUCUUCCCGGUCGGAAGUUAUCGAUUCUUUUCUCUCCAGGUUUCUCUAUUAUUGAGUCUCCAAAACCUGCAUCAGCUGUGGCAUGUUUGUCCGACGACACAAGCUUUAUUCCACCCCUCGAGUUCAACACAGUUCGAAUAGAUCAAGACGUGUAUAUCGAGAAUGUUCAAAAUUAAUCCGAUGGUGUUGCAAGUUGAAGCAAGAAUAAUCUGAGAAGACAUAUAUAGAAAGAGUAUUGUCAGAAGCUGCUUAGAAAGAUAUGAUUGUGCGGUAUAGUGCUAUUAGAAUCGUGGCUAGACAUUGGAGUUAAGGCAAGUAUUUCUAUACUUCUCUUGUGGUUAAAAGUAAGCGAUUCUUAUCUUCCUCUUGACCCCGAACUCUCUUUUAUAAAUGGUUCAUUUUUAUCUUAACAUCAUUCUUGUGAAGCAUAUCUGGUAAGUUGAAUACCUUCAGUUGAAUUGAUAAUACCUUUGACCUGCUACCGAAACUUCGAUUUUCAUAAAAGAUUUACAAACUACUGAAGGUAGUAACUAUUUCGAUUUGCUACAAAAUGAAUUUUGUUUAACAAGACAAGACACUUGCAUUCUUGAAUUUCCCAAAUCAUAUUGUUAAAGCUGUAGCUUUUAAAUUUAAUAUAUUGGGUAGUUUUGCGUAAGAGGCUCAGACAUCGGCCCAGCGUGAAAGGUGGCUCCUUCAGCCCGGAUUACCGGAAUUCGUAAUAUUUGUCGACCUUGCUGAAUAAGCUUGGUUUAUGGACUAUAGCAUGACUGAUCAUCUGUUAUAGCCAGGUGUCUUAUUUAAACCCAAUUAUAUAUUGAUUAGUUUCAAAGGUAAUUAUCUUAUGGUCAAAAGAUAAUGGAAUUUACUUUUAUCUCUACAGCUUUAAAUUCAUAUAUUGAUGCAGAAUUGCUUUAUCAUUGUAUACCAUUUUACUCUUUUAUACUGAACUGUUGAUUUACAACAUCAUGUUUAAACCAGAGUUUACUUUUACUUCAAACAUUCUGAUUCACUUAAGUAUAUAUAUAUUUUGUGGCUUUCACCUAUCAUAUUCUUGCUGAGCAUUAUUGCUCAUUCUUGCUAUUCCUUUUAACCUUUUUCAGCUAGGGAUAAAGAUGAUUCACUAAAGACUGUGCGUAAGAGUAAUGAUAGGCAUGAUUGCAAGUGGUUGAGUUCAGGCAGACGGUCAGGUAGAGUAUCGAGGACGAUGUCAUUAAACUAGUUGCAGUUGGAGUUGUGCAAUUCAAUUCAGUUGAAAAUGAGAUUUGUUUAUUUGGUUAUCAGCUACUCUUCUUAUCUGAUAGUGUAGAUUAAUUUGUAACUAAAUUUUAUAGUUUUAGUUUCUGAUUUCAAUGCAGUAACCUGUAUGCGAUCCUGUUUUCAGGGGGUGAAAUUGAUUUUGAAUUUAAAUCAUUUUAAAAAAAAAAUAUCCAGGUUUUGAAAUACUUGUUUUUACUUUCUUUCAAAGACACAGGUUUUAAAUUGUUUUUCUUUUAGUGGCUCAAAAAUACAGGUUUUAAAUUAUUUUUAUUUACACGUGGCACCAAAUCCAGACCCCCGGAUUUGAAGGAUGUCACAGUUGGUAUCAGAGCUACAGGUUAUAAGUUAUUGAAAUCAGAAUGUAGGUUAUAAUACUAGGUCUAGUGAGAAGGAUCGCGUAGUGUAACCUCACGUAGAGGUAUCGUAUGACUAUUUGGGGAUAGUCUUUCUGAGCAGAAAAAAAAAAUGAAGCUAGAUGAUUAAGUUUAAGUGUUUAGAGUUAUUGACAUUAGAAUUCGUAAUUCCAGUUCUUCCAGCCCUAGUAUAUUGACCAAUUUAGUGUUAUAUCAUAUAAAGAGGGUCAGAAUUAGACUAUCAGAAGAACCUUAAUAUUGGAACCAGUUGAGGUUAGACUAGUAGACAUUCUCACACAGUCUAAUGUAUCAUUAUAGUACCUGCUAAGUGUUGAGUGCUAUUUGGGAUUCACCUUUUGAUUUUUGUCAGAGAUAUAUAGAAUUGGUGAAAGGACAUGUCCACGUUUAAAGCUCUGUAUAUAUUUAAGGAGUGAGUGUUAGAGCUACGUAAAUUUCGUGUUAGAUUACUCGAUCUAGUACUUAUGAGUGAGUUAAGACGUCAACACUCUAUGUUGAUAAUUUUAUAAAGUUGGAUAAGACUUCUGACUGAAAUUGAUAUCAAUAAUGGGAUCUUCAGAGACUAUUACGAGUCAACGAUAAUAUAUACAAGUGAUCACUAGAACGUCGAGAAGAAUCAUUAGAAUCAAACGAGUUAUCAAAGGAAUCGAUCAACAAGACAUCUGUGAGAAUCCUGGCAAUACCUUCCUCACUGUUGAUUAUAUUGAUUUCUUUCCUCAUCAUUGAUUUGUUCUGACAUCACUUUCAUAAAGACAUUCGGUGAAGAAUAUAUCUUUCCCUCUCACUUGAGUUCUCAAAUGAUAAUUGUGUUUACCGUAACACCUUUGGCAUCUAUUCAAUUUUUGAUAAUUUUGGACCCUUUCAUAUUCUCUACUCUAACUGAGGUGAACAACCCUACUUACAGGGGACACAAGGACUAUCUGUCUGUGUGAUAGAAGUUGGAUGGGACGCCAUCACUUGUGUGUGUUGUAUACACAAGAAGGUUAACUACCUUUAGUAGUGUCUUAAUCCAGACACGCAACACUGAGUUCUUUAGAUCAUAUUGGUCUCUCAGUUAUUCCCCCAUUCAAAUGAGCUUUAUUCAACAAACUCAUAAUUCUAUGACCACAAUCAUGUGACAUUUGCUUCGAUAUAUGAAAUCUGUCAUACUUUUAAAUCUUCAAAAUUCUUGUUAUCUCAAAUAGUUUGAAGGUAUGCCAAUCAAGUUUCCAAUAUGAAUUAAGACUUUGUAGUAAGGUGUACCAUGGAUAAAAGCAGAUGACAACGCGGGUAUCCGGCAGCGAUCAAGAAAAAUAUUAUAUCAUAAACAACGAGUAUUACGGAUUAUAGAGAUCGUGCGCUCCAGUUUGCUUUCCGUUGAUUCCGAGGACGGAAUCUUUUUAAGGGGGGUAGAUUGUGACGACCCGGAAUUUCAGAAAUUAUUUUAUUAUUUUUAUUCCUGAUUUUUCGAGGGAAAUGAGGAAUGAAAUUUCAAUAUUUUAUUCCAGUUUGAUAAUUUUCAAAAAUAUUUGUUUAAACUAUUUUUUUAGUCAUUGGGUUAGCGAAAUUUUAUUGUCUAUUUUAAAUUAAAUUUCAUGUUAUCUAUGAAUUACGUGUUACGUGGCUAAAUGCUAGUUAUGUGUUGGCUAUUUUGUGAAUUAAUAAUUGUUGUAUUGAAUUGAAUACCAUGUUAAAUAUAUGACUUACUUGUUCUAUGAUUUAACUUUAGUAUCUGGAUGUGAUUUAUGCUUGUGUGUAUAUCUGUUACAAACUGUUGUGUUGUUUUAUAAAUAUUUAUGAUUUUCUUUAAAAUGGAUUAUAGGAAAAUGAAUUUCUUAAAAUACAAAAAUGACUUGUAAAAUUCUUUUAAUUACUUGAAAAUGGUAAUGAAUAUUUUUAGGAGUUUUGAAAAUAUUAAAAAUAUUAUUUUUAUAGAAGUUUCAUGUUUAAAUAUUUCUUGAACACAAUUAACUUCUAAAUUACGUAUAAAUUUCAGUAAUGCUUCAUAAAUCCCGAAACUUUUAUUUUAUUAGUUUUAUAAUAUUCCGGGAUUUAUAAAAAUAUUUUGGUGAUGUUUCCAAGAUAUUAUAAUAGCGAGAUAUUCCGAUAAUUUAGUUAAAAGCAGGUCCGAGUCUUCAGAUUAUUAUGGGCACGUGGAAGUAAAAGACUUAACCACGUACCCCUUUUUUUAGCACCGCCACCGUUUAUUCCACCACCGCCUUUGUAUAUACACAAUACUUCUUCCUUUUUAUCUCAAACAUCAGUCUCCUUCUAAUCUCUCCCCCUUUCGAAAUCUUUUCUCUGUCGACAGCCUCCCUUCUAUUCUGUUAAACUUCCCCGCUGACCGAUAUGCUCCAGACAAGUCGCCGCCGCUGGUUCCGAUUCCGGCCAAACCUGUUGUGGUCACCCGCGAAUUUCUUCUUGUCCAUGCCUCCUGCUUCUUCCCGGUCGGAAGUUAUCGAUUCUUUUCUCUCCAGGUUUCUCUAUUAUUGAGUCUCCAAAACCUGCAUCAGCUGUGGCAUGUUUGUCCGACGACACAAGCUUUAUUCCACCCCUCGAGUUCAACACAGUUCGAAUAGAUCAAGACGUGUAUAUCGAGAAUGUUCAAAAUUAAUCCGAUGGUGUUGCAAGUUGAAGCAAGAAUAAUCUGAGAAGACAUAUAUAGAAAGAGUAUUGUCAGAAGCUGCUUAGAAAGAUAUGAUUGUGCGGUAUAGUGCUAUUAGAAUCGUGGCUAGACAUUGGAGUUAAGGCAAGUAUUUCUAUACUUCUCUUGUGGUUAAAAGUAAGCGAUUCUUAUCUUCCUCUUGACCCCGAACUCUCUUUUAUAAAUGGUUCAUUUUUAUCUUAACAUCAUUCUUGUGAAGCAUAUCUGGUAAGUUGAAUACCUUCAGUUGAAUUGAUAAUACCUUUGACCUGCUACCGAAACUUCGAUUUUCAUAAAAGAUUUACAAACUACUGAAGGUAGUAACUAUUUCGAUUUGCUACAAAAUGAAUUUUGUUUAACAAGACAAGACACUUGCAUUCUUGAAUUUCCCAAAUCAUAUUGUUAAAGCUGUAGCUUUUAAAUUUAAUAUAUUGGGUAGUUUUGCGUAAGAGGCUCAGACAUCGGCCCAGCGUGAAAGGUGGCUCCUUCAGCCCGGAUUACCGGAAUUCGUAAUAUUUGUCGACCUUGCUGAAUAAGCUUGGUUUAUGGACUAUAGCAUGACUGAUCAUCUGUUAUAGCCAGGUGUCUUAUUUAAACCCAAUUAUAUAUUGAUUAGUUUCAAAGGUAAUUAUCUUAUGGUCAAAAGAUAAUGGAAUUUACUUUUAUCUCUACAGCUUUAAAUUCAUAUAUUGAUGCAGAAUUGCUUUAUCAUUGUAUACCAUUUUACUCUUUUAUACUGAACUGUUGAUUUACAACAUCAUGUUUAAACCAGAGUUUACUUUUACUUCAAACAUUCUGAUUCACUUAAGUAUAUAUAUAUUUUGUGGCUUUCACCUAUCAUAUUCUUGCUGAGCAUUAUUGCUCAUUCUUGCUAUUCCUUUUAACCUUUUUCAGCUAGGGAUAAAGAUGAUUCACUAAAGACUGUGCGUAAGAGUAAUGAUAGGCAUGAUUGCAAGUGGUUGAGUUCAGGCAGACGGUCAGGUAGAGUAUCGAGGACGAUGUCAUUAAACUAGUUGCAGUUGGAGUUGUGCAAUUCAAUUCAGUUGAAAAUGAGAUUUGUUUAUUUGGUUAUCAGCUACUCUUCUUAUCUGAUAGUGUAGAUUAAUUUGUAACUAAAUUUUAUAGUUUUAGUUUCUGAUUUCAAUGCAGUAACCUGUAUGCGAUCCUGUUUUCAGGGGGUGAAAUUGAUUUUGAAUUUAAAUCAUUUUAAAAAAAAAAUAUCCAGGUUUUGAAAUACUUGUUUUUACUUUCUUUCAAAGACACAGGUUUUAAAUUGUUUUUCUUUUAGUGGCUCAAAAAUACAGGUUUUAAAUUAUUUUUAUUUACACGUGGCACCAAAUCCAGACCCCCGGAUUUGAAGGAUGUCACAUAAUAUGGAACUUCAACUAAAUAUGGAGUGAGCUGUUUCGAUAGUAAAACUACAUCAGAUAAGUGUUAGCUAAGGCAUCUAAAGCUCUCGCACUUGUAUGUCAAAACAAGGAGCUCUUUCUAUUCGUAAGAAGAGAAUUGGUGAGAGGACUACCUCAUCUGGAAUUCAAUAUGGAUGAAGAUUAUGAGGUAUGUCAAUAGGGAAGUCGAAGGAGCAUCGCACAGAAGCAAAGAUAUGAUUAACAUUACUGAGCCGCUUCAGAUGAUACGUAUGGAUUUCUACGGAUCAGUUAAUGUCAUGUCUGCAAACAAAGCAAGAUAUCUUUUUGCGAUGAUCGUUGACUACUCUAGAUUCUUUCGUGUUGUUCGUAUGUGUUCAAAGGACAAGACGUCACAAAUGUAGGUUGAUCAAGAUGAACCCUGAUCAUUGAAAAAUCCAGAAAGACACCAUUCUUGUCAGUGGCCAA